Molecule: long non-coding RNA, 1027 nt
Organism: Aptenodytes forsteri (emperor penguin)
Lineage: Eukaryota; Metazoa; Chordata; Aves; Sphenisciformes; Spheniscidae
Exons: 4
Source: RefSeq, a predicted model, not a curated record
ACCCUGUCGAGAGGAUCUGAAGUGGUUCAGGUUUUGUAGCACGCGGGGUUUCUGAGCAAAGGAAGCUGCUCUUCAGUGAGAAUGUGGCUCUUGAGAGGAAGGUGGUACCGACGGUGACCUGCACGGCACAAGGCUGCGGUGGGGAAGGAGCUGGUCCUCUGCCCUGAGUCUUCUGCUGGAGCCUGCCUCGGCCAUGCCCUCCCCUGCUGCUGCUCCUCUCCAGGAGAUGUGUCCCACCUGCGCUCGCUGAGACCAUCCCUGGCACCUCUGCUCUGCAUCAGCUCCAGUGCUGAGCUGGCAUCCCAGGUGCAAAGAUGCGACAGCGUUAAGGCUGCUCUGUGCCUUGCGCAAUCCUCCUGCCCUUGAGAUGAAUCUCAACCCAACUGAACCAUGGCAAGAGUUUGCUGGAGCGCGCUGCCUGAGCUUGCAGCGGGCUCUCCGCAAACACCGCUCCCUCUGACUCCAGCCGGCACUAUGGCUGUGGGACAUUUGAGCCGUGAUUUAUGUCCCACAAGAAAGUGCUGCAUCAUGUAUUUAGGCAGACAGAGUGUCAGUAAGACGUGGUUCGUGUGAACGCUCUUCAUAAAAGACUAUUACAAAAGCAAACAGAUCGAUCACUCCGGGCUUCACGGUUGGGAAGUAAGAACAAAAUGAGGCUUAAAUAGCGACGAGUCAAUGCAGCGAUGAAGUACCUAUUUAUCGGUAAAUAAAGGCUGGCUGCCAUUGCCGGCUUCGAAGCCCCUGUGCCCCCGAGGGGUUUGGAAAGUGGUGAUGCAAACUGAUGAGUCACAGUUUAGAACAAUAGUUUCUUCAUGCAAAAUGACUCAGGAUAAAAGAAAAACAGGUUUUUCAAGAAGCUGAAGCCUGUGAAAUUACAAAAAGCAAUAAAAUAAUAGGACGUCUUUAACCCUGUGUUGAAAGUAUUAAAUCUUUUUCUAAAGAUUAGUGCAGUGGUUGUGGUGGAUGCCUGAGACCAGUGGAUUAGACCGUACCUGUUUUCAGUCAGCUUUCCCCUUUCGGAGCGUGC